GAACCUUACCUGGGCUCGAAAUGUUAUGGACCGGGGUAGAAAUAUCCCUUCCCCGCAAGGGGCCGUAAUAUAGGUGCUGCAUGGCUGUCGUCAGCUCGUGUCGUGAGAUGUUGGGUUAAGUCCCGCAACGAGCGCAACCCUUAUCUUCAGUUGCUACCAUUUAGUUGAGCACUCUGACGAAACCGCCUCGGAUAACGGGGAGGAAGGUGGGGAUGACGUCAAGUCCUCAUGGCCUUUAUGUCCAGGGCUACACACGUGCUACAAUGGCCGGUACAAACCGUCGCAAACCCGUGAGGGGGAGCUAAUCGGAAAAAACCGUCCUCAGUUCGGAUCGUAGUCUGCAACUCGACUACGUGAAGCUGGAAUCGCUAGUAAUCGCGGAUCAGAAUGCCGCGGUGAAUACGUUCCCGGGCCUUGUCACACCGA
This 426-nucleotide ribosomal RNA is filed under the name uncultured soil bacterium. RNAcentral describes it as "bacterial SSU rRNA". It matches the Rfam family "Bacterial small subunit ribosomal RNA", at positions 966 to 1393 of the family's 1533-position model. The record is from RNAcentral.